RNAcentral lists this non-coding RNA (31 nucleotides) under Rattus norvegicus (Norway rat). Lineage: Eukaryota; Metazoa; Chordata; Mammalia; Rodentia; Muridae. The record is from RNAcentral.
UGCACUUCAUUCUUUCCUAAAGUCUUGAUGG